CAAAUGGCAGGCAACUAAAAUGAUAUAACCUUCCCACUGUGAACUACUGGCAUCUUACUUUUUGACCCCUUGACAAGAAGAACUGGAGUUACCAAAAUGCUGUCAUUUAAGGUGUUGGAGUGGAAACCAGAACAUUACCUAUUAUCAAGAAGGGGUUUCUUCUAAGGCAUUCAGGGCACUCAGAAACAUACAUCUAAGGAAAGAUUCACUUAAAAACCAGCCAAGACACAGUCAUAUAAUUGGGAUCUCCAGGGCCCUGAGUAAAGACAGUCUCCUCCCACUUCAUCGUCGGUAAAUCAAACUCUCCACAGAUGGUAAUAAAUUUAAUAAAAUAAUGUCGUUUCAUUGCAACAAAUACCACAUAGAGGAAAAGAUGGCUUUCAAAUGGAUUAUUUUUUCCAGGGCAUUUCCAGGUUUUCCUGUGAGUUUCUUGCACCUACAGAGCCUGGCCAAAUACUACAAUCCUGAAGGCCCAGAAACACUGGGAAUGCACAAGGGAGUUCGACUAAACAUGAGGCUCUGCGCCUUCUCACUCGUCUUCAGAAUAGUUUGUGGAAAGUCCCCUUGCCCUCUGCCCCAGCUCGGGUAUGCCACCUGCCCUCAGUCCAGCCUUGGUGGCCUCAACCAAAUUUAGAUGCGUAAUGCCACGUGCGGUUAAUGGAUGGUACCAAAAGGGCGCGCGGCUUCUAUCUCCGCCAGCGCCGCUUUGUUACCUCUGACAACCACUCGAGGCUGGGAAGAGACCUGUGUCGUUUCCACUCAGCUCCAGCCCAGCAACUAAGUACAUUCAUACUAGGGACAUCAAUCUCAGAUGCCAAAGCCUGGAGAUUUGCAUUGCAAAUAGGCGAACGUGGUGACAUUUCACCACUGGGAGCAGAACCUGAGGCAUCUUCCUCUGUGAGAGCUAUGGGGGGGGAAUCCACUUUGUAGUCAAAUUGAGUGCAGAAGGAAGGCAAGAGGGAGGGCAGAAAUUGGACCACUCUAAUUUUGAACGACAGAAAGAAUAUUGAUUUUUGAAAUAUUGUGGUCACUUUUUUUUUUUCCCAAACCAUGGGCUUUUCCUCCAGUACUGAGAUCAGCUUUCUGCAUUUCCGCUUCCAACCCAUAAACCCAUAGCUGAGGCCCAGCUUGUGUAUAUGUAUCCUAUGGACUGCCUUUUCCUGACCCGUGUCUUCUGGAAGGGUUUACUUAAUUAUUUUUUUCAAUUCUUAUGUCCCAUUCAGAUGUCUCACUUCUGUAAUUCUCUAUCAUUUAAAAUCUUUAACAAGGAUUCUUAUACAAAAUGGUGAUAAACAUAGAAUACUUUUAUUUGAGCAUUAAAUAAGUUACUGUAUAGAAAGGGUUUUGUGCUUGAUGCGUCUUAGCUAUUAUUGUCUUGUUAUUUUGUUAGGGCAGUUAUUUUUCUAGGAGGCAGUGUUGGGGGUGGAGAACCUGGUUUUGACAUAGAAAGAUCCGGGUACCAGGCCGGGCGCGGUGGCUCACAUCUGUAAUCCCAGCACUUUGGGAUGCUGAGGCGGGCAGAUCACGAGGUCAAGAGAUCGACACCAUCCUGGCCAACAUGGUGAAACCCUGUCUCUACUAAAAAUACAAAUAUUAGCUGGGCAUUGUGGCGCAUACCUAUAGUCCCAGCUACUCAGGAGGCUGAGGCAGGAGAAUCGUUUGAACUCAGGAGGUGGAGGUUGCAGUGAGCUGAGACUGCGCCACUGCACUCCAGCCUGGUGACAGAGCGAGACUCUGUCAAAAAAAAAUAAAAAGAGAAAGAAAGGAAGGAAGGAAGAAGGGAGGGAAGGAGGGAGAAAGGAAGAAAGGAAGAAAGGAGGAAAGGAAGAUCUGGGUACGAAUCUUUACUACUCUCCCAAGUUUAUGACUUGACUUCAGACAAGUUACUUAACAUCUACAACUGGAGUAUGCAAAUAU
RNAcentral lists this long non-coding RNA (1917 nucleotides) under Homo sapiens (human). RNAcentral describes it as "HSALNT0225101". The record is from RNAcentral. Lineage: Eukaryota; Metazoa; Chordata; Mammalia; Primates; Hominidae.